GAUAAACGCUAGCUACAGGCUUAACACAUGCAAGUCGAGGGGAAACGAUAUUGGAAGCUUGCUUCUGAUAGGCGUCGACCGGCGCACGGGUGAGUAACGCGUAUCCAACCUGCCCAUCACUUGGGGAUAACCUUGUGAAAGUAAGACUAAUACCCAAUGACGUCUCUAGAAGACAUCUGAAAGAGAUUAAAGAUUUAUCGGUGAUGGAUGGGGAUGCGUCUGAUUAGCUUGUUGGCGGGGUAACGGCCCACCAAGGCGACGAUCAGUAGGGGUUCUGAGAGGAAGGUCCCCCACAUUGGAACUGAGACACGGUCCAAACUCCUACGGGAGGCAGCAGUGAGGAAUAUUGGUCAAUGGGCGAGAGCCUGAACCAGCCAAGUAGCGUGAAGGAUGAAGGUCCUA
This 402-nucleotide ribosomal RNA is filed under the name uncultured bacterium. RNAcentral describes it as "bacterial SSU rRNA". It matches the Rfam family "Bacterial small subunit ribosomal RNA", at positions 28 to 419 of the family's 1533-position model. The record is from RNAcentral.